UACGUAGGUGGCAAGCGCUGUCCGGAUUUACUGGGCGUAAAGAGCGCGCAGGCGGUCGUUCAAGUCGCGUGUGAAAGCCCCCGGCUCAACUGGGGAGGGUCACGCGAUACUGAUCGACUCGAAGGCAGGAGAGGGUAGUGGAAUUCCCGGUGUAGUGGUGAAAUGCGUAGAUAUCGGGAGGAACACCAGUGGCGAAGGCGACUACCUGGCCUGUUCUUGACGCUGAGGCGCGAAAGCUAGGGGAGCAAACGGG
RNAcentral lists this ribosomal RNA (253 nucleotides) under uncultured bacterium. Its description in RNAcentral is "partial 16S ribosomal RNA". It matches the Rfam family "Bacterial small subunit ribosomal RNA", at positions 524 to 776 of the family's 1533-position model. The record is from RNAcentral.